UACUGAUUCGGUUUAUCCCCUGAGCAGAUCAAACCCUUUAAGAUUAAGGUCUUUAGUAUUGCUAAUUAUCAGCAAUCCGUCAUCAGGACAAGCUGCCCUCACUCUUGCCCAGUGGCAUGUACGAGCCCCUACAGUUUCCUUCCACGUUCAGAGGCUCAUUUUUGCUCUGUGUGUUUCAGUGUCCACACUUCUGGUGGAAAAUGACUGGAGGUAACAGCUGACUAUUCUGAGUUUACGAAAAAGAGGUAGCUUGAUCUUUUUGCUACACGAACUAUUUUUCUGAAUUUUGCAGCUCCCUCACAUCAAAAGGUGUUCCCCAUGAUGGAGCUUCAAAGGGAAAGGUCUCAAACUUUUUUGUAUCCAACUUUACUCCUAUUGAAAUGCCUUUCAAUCUCUAAUCUUACAUAUCCUCCACAUGCUGCGGCUUAAGGAGAUGCAACAGCUUCCCAGAGCCUGUGGUGAAGAAAUGAGGGAUAAAGUAGAAAGAAUUCAUCAUGGGAUAUAGGGGGAGAAAAGAGGUAAUUAGAAAGGGACUCACAGCUGCCAUCCAUCACCUUGCUCUGGGGGCUUGGUUGUAGGAUGGGGCCCCGGCUAGUGAGGCCCCUGCCCCGAAGGCUUUGUUGCUGUGCUGAGUUCCUGGCCCCCAGGCACUCAGGGAGCACCUGGCCCUUGUUGUGCACUGAUGUAUUUAAUCUGGAAAUAAGGUGUUUUUCACUCUUUCUCCCCCAUGUCCUCUACUUUUUAUGAAGUCAAAUAUCCUGCUGUUUCCAUUCCUGGUCUGACACUUGGCUACCUGUGCUUCUCAGACAAUGUUUUUGCCUUAGGACAAAACCUUGCUAGUCCAGCUCUGCAGAGAGAUUCAGGGCAUUUCAAUUGCACAGACCUGAGAUGGCUCCAGAUAUUAUGGUACCAAAGCAGCAACAGCUUCCCCCUUGCAGGGGGCAAAGGGAAACCACUGAAGACACUCUGUGAAACUACAUUAUCUGAAAAAAAAAAAAAAUCUGACUUAUGAAGCUCCUUUUUUGAGAGGAAUGUUUAUAGAAUUGCUUCCAAGUUCCUGUAAAUGCCCCCACGUUUCACACUCAUCGUAUCAUGUGAAGCUGUUCUCGACCCCAAAGAAGACCCAGGGUGAAUCAUUAAACCAAAAUGAAAGAAGAAGAAUAUGGAGAAUAGAAAGUUUGUGAAUUGUGAAGACAGAACAUAGUAUAGAAUGGAACAAAAGGGGAAGUUUGUAAAGCGAUAGAUGUUGGAGGGAAAGUAGCAACUCAGGAAGAGAUUAUCUCGCUGCCAUCCCUGCUUUUUCAGUGGAGUUACACUAAGUUUAUUAGAAUGAUGUCUGGCAACAUAUGCAUUUCAAUUUUCAUGAUGCCAUUGAGGUCAAACCCCUAUUAACUCUUCCGAAAGAAGAAGUGGAUUCGUGCAUUAUAAUCAGACAAAACAGGACAGCACUUUGUCAGAAGGAGAAUGAUUACCAGGAAAGCUGUGUCUGCAGGCACAGCCAGAGUCUUUCCAAGUCCGGUUGGAUUUGCUUAUCCUGCCCUCCUGUUCUGGGCUACCUCCUCCAGAGACAUCCUGGGCUAGAUCUGAAAAUCAUUGCUUGGGACAACUCUCUUUCUUAGAGCCUUCCUGAGAGUUUCUGCUGCUCCGUCUGUUUCUCAAGUGUGGUAUAGCAGAACAUGGUCCUCAGGUUCUCUGCAGUCUUAAUGAGAUCAUUCAGUAUUGCAAGAAACGUGCAUGCAUGAUACUCUUUAUGCCUGCUUCCACUUCUGCCUCCUCUAAUAGACUGUCAUAAUUCUUUGACUCUUGUUCAGAUUUUUCAAUGUUUGC
This is a long non-coding RNA of Oxyura jamaicensis (ruddy duck), 1827 nucleotides long. RefSeq lists it as uncharacterized. The record is from RefSeq and is a predicted model, not a curated record. NCBI's taxonomy places the organism in Eukaryota, Metazoa, Chordata, Aves, Anseriformes, Anatidae. The transcript has 5 exons.